AUCGUUCGGUGGAAACGAGAAUAAAGCGUGAAGGAUAACGUUGCGUCAGCAACGGCCCGUAGGGCGAGGCGAAGCCGAGUCAUCCUGCACGACCCACCG
Molecule: small RNA, 99 nt
Filed under: Salmonella enterica subsp. enterica serovar Kentucky
Lineage: Bacteria; Pseudomonadati; Pseudomonadota; Gammaproteobacteria; Enterobacterales; Enterobacteriaceae
Description: partial RtT sRNA
Rfam family: RtT RNA
About the family: This family represents a bacterial cis-regulatory element known as RtT RNA. The exact function of RtT is unknown although it is thought that it may be involved in changing the cellular response in relation to amino acid starvation.
Source: RNAcentral